RNAcentral lists this long non-coding RNA (1913 nucleotides) under Amborella trichopoda. Its description in RNAcentral is "long non-coding RNA (ATRI_LNC000147)". The record is from RNAcentral. Lineage: Eukaryota; Viridiplantae; Streptophyta; Magnoliopsida; Amborellales; Amborellaceae.
GGCAAAACCCAUGCUUGGGACACUUUUUGGCUCUCAAAUUUUGAGGAUGUAAUCUCUAUAACCCACAGAAUAAUAUUAGCAAAAACAAAUUUCGUAUUAAGCUUUCAAGGCGUUAGAAAGAACUUAUGCCUCAAGAUUGAAUAGAGACUGCCCCAUUUUUGCAGGGCUAGAUCUAAGUUUCAUAAAAUUCAAGUUUCAAAUCUUUUCUUUUAAAAAUAAUUCUAGUAAUUUCUAUAUAGUUCCCAAAAUUUUAAACUAAAAAAUAAAAUUAGCUAGGCGAAGCAGAUGCAUAGCGUGCUCCCGCACGAGCAUAGUCCGUGUGCUCAUAGAAGUAUAUUUUCUUUUCGCAUCUAGUAAACUGCUAGGUUUCUACCUAUUUUCCAAGUAACGAAUCUCCACCUCGCCUUUUUCCAACCUUCCCAUUCUUUCCUUUUAUCUGGAAGUUGAUUCUUUUAUUAUAUGAUUGUAAAAGUUCUUAUUAAUCCUUGUUUUGUAUUGUUUGAUUAAGGGAGGAGAUGGUGAAAGGCCUCCAUCAACUCACAUCCCUUCAACACUCAUUCGGCCUUGUUUGGGCUCAAUCAAUUCAUCCUCCCAGUUUUAACACUCAUUAGGCCUUGUUUGGGCCCAAUCAAGAGGGGAUGAACAUGUUAGAGAUAAAUUUGAUAAAUGGUAAGCAUCACCUCACAUUUUAUAAAAUCUAGCGGAUUCUUUGAUAUGAAAUACCCGAGAGACUCCCAGUUGUGGACAACAAGGUCUUUCAUAACCCCUUCAUCGUUACUUUUCUCAAAAUUGAGAAUGGGCUGAAACCUUGACGAUAGUACUAAUGAAUUCUAUGAUGAAAUUUUUGACUCCAAUCUCAUCAAAAUAUAGGGGCUCAAAUCUCCAAUUACUUUUUUUUUACUUUCCUCACAAUCAUCACCUUUUGAUAGACUCAAAAGAGCUAGAAAUGACCCCUCUAACACUAUGGUGUUGGCAAUAUGGGAAGUUUCAAUCUUAAAACAUUAUUACAUGUGCUUAAACUUUUAUGGUGACUCUUUGCCCCACAAGAGUAUUCCCUUAUAUUGCUUAACUCCAGCAAAGGGGAGUAUUUGUGCUCAGCCAUUUCAAAAUUGAAAAGGCUGCAUCAUUGUCACUCUCGCCCAUUUUCAAGGUGAUUACAAUAGAUCUAUGAGGAAUUCAAGAGUGAAAACAAAUCAUAGAAAAAAAAAAAAUUUGAUAUCUUCUCCACCCUUGAAACCCUCGAUAUAGUCAUGAAUCCAUGAUCAAACUUCUUCAAAACAAUUCUCAAACUAAUAGCAAUCAACAACCCAACCAACAACUAGAUCAAACCGACAAUUUCUUUAAAACAAAAAUUUCACCAAUUCUUUUUUUGUUAUUCACCUCUUCGUUUGAUCCAAAAACCGCCGGGGGGUGGGGAGGGGCUGGUUGUUUAGAUUACAAAAAUACCCAUGCUCUUGGGCAUUAUUUUUAGCCACGAGCCAUGCAGCACAUGUGAAAUUUGCGAUAUACAGCAUACGCAAUGGGGUAUGGCGCAUAUGCCGACGCAUCCCACCAAAGCGCAUAUGUGCCCCUAUGCAAUGUGUUUGGGGCUGCAUAGUGCAUUAUACAUCCGCAUAUGCCGUGAUACGGGGUAUCCUCAACAAUACAGCCUAAUGACAUCCAUGUGGUAGAAAACCCAUUUCAAUUUUGGCUAAGGAAAUUCUGAAAAACCUGUAAGCCUAAAUCUUAGGAACCAUACUGGCUAGUCCACCAUAGCUUGUAAUCGACAGCCAAUCCAACCUAAUCCAAACCAGCAGACAAAGAUAUAUAAACCUAGAAAAACAUGAAUUAGACAAGUAAAAUAUAGGUCAAAAUCAAAUCAGUCUGUCACCCAAGGGCAUAAAAGACUUUCCAGCUACAACAUGUAAAGAAAC